Molecule: ribosomal RNA, 497 nt
Filed under: uncultured bacterium
Lineage: Bacteria
Description: partial 16S ribosomal RNA
Rfam family: Bacterial small subunit ribosomal RNA
Source: RNAcentral
GAUGAACGCUGGCGGCGUGCCUAAUACAUGCAAGUCGAGCGAACAGACGAGGAGCUUGCUCCUCUGACGUUAGCGGCGGACGGGUGAGUAACACGUGGAUAACCUACCUAUAAGACUGGGAUAACUUCGGGAAACCGGAGCUAAUACCGGAUAAUAUAUUGAACCGCAUGGUUCAAUAGUGAAAGACGGUUUUGCUGUCACUUAUAGAUGGAUCCGCGCCGCAUUAGCUAGUUGGUAAGGUAACGGCUUACCAAGGCGACGAUGCGUAGCCGACCUGAGAGUGUGAUCGGCCACACUGGAACUGAGACACGGUCCAGACUCCUACGGGAGGCAGCAGUAGGGAAUCUUCCGCAAUGGACGAAAGCCUGACGGAGCAACGCCGCGUGAGUGAUGAAGGUCUUCGGAUCGUAAAACUCUGUUAUUAGGGAAGAACAAAUGUGUAAGUAACUAUGCACGUCUUGACGGUACCUAAUCAGAAAGCCACGGCUAACUACGUG